This is a long non-coding RNA of Malania oleifera, 700 nucleotides long. RefSeq lists it as uncharacterized. The transcript has 3 exons. Lineage: Eukaryota; Viridiplantae; Streptophyta; Magnoliopsida; Santalales; Ximeniaceae. The record is from RefSeq and is a predicted model, not a curated record.
AACCAAUUCCUCUCACCCUCUAUUCCCAUGUUCACCCAUCCCUAACAAGUAGAAUGGUAGGUCUGAAUGUCCGCUACCUGCACAUUCACACACUUCGAAAUUCAAACUCUACACUCUUAACCCACCUCUCCUCUCCCCCCCCCCCCCCCUCUCUCUCUCUCUCUCUAAAUCCACAGAAGAACGAACCAUUUGUAACUUUGCAUUGACCUGUGUUAGCCGGUUGCGGCCGCCGGCAGGGGAGUCAUCAUUAUGUCGCUGACGCCGUUGAUGUUUCGGUCGGUGGUGAGGCUGGUGACGGCGCUGGUGGGGGAGCCGACGGCGUCGGUGACGACGCUGCUAUACUACAGCGACCUGCUGCCGCAGAACGCAGUGUUGGAGAGGCUGGUCCGCCACGAGAUGCUUGAUCGCGAGAACUACCUCUUCCAUUUCCUCAUCAACUUCUUGAGAUGCUUCUGAGUUGGGCCGGCUCUUUUUUGGUGCAAUUGUAACCGGUGAUGAUGAUGAAGUGAUGUAUAUCAUGGGUGAGUCUGAAUUCUUACUGUGAUUCAUUCUAAUUGAUUAGGGUCAAAGUUUUAGUUUGAUUAAUUGAUUCGUACCAGUUGUAGAAAUUUAUGGUUCUAUGUAUACUUGAACAAUAUAGGCGGACGAUAAUGUUUAUUUUGAUUUGGGUUUAAUCAAUAUAUAGUUGCAUAUACAUAUA